This 468-nucleotide ribosomal RNA is filed under the name uncultured bacterium. RNAcentral describes it as "partial 16S ribosomal RNA". It matches the Rfam family "Bacterial small subunit ribosomal RNA", at positions 28 to 507 of the family's 1533-position model. The record is from RNAcentral.
GACGAACGCUGGCGGCGUGCUUAACACAUGCAAGUCGAACGGAAAGGCCCUGCUUUUGUGGGGUGCUCGAGUGGCGAACGGGUGAGUAACACGUGAGUAACCUGCCCUUGACUUUGGGAUAACUUCAGGAAACUGGGGCUAAUACCGGAUAGGAGCUCCUGCUGCAUGGUGGGGGUUGGAAAGUUUCGGCGGUUGUGGAUGGACUCGCGGCUUAUCAGCUUGUUGGUGGGGUAGUGGCUUACCAAGGCUUUGACGGGUAGCCGGCCUGAGAGGGUGACCGGCCACAUUGGGACUGAGAUACGGCCCAGACUCCUACGGGAGGCAGCAGUCGGGAAUAUUGCGCAAUGGGCGGAAGCCUGAUGCAGCAACGCCGCGUGCGGGAUGACGGCCUUCGGGUUGUAAACCGCUUUCGCCUGUGACGAAGCGUGAGUGACGGUAAUGGGUAAAGAAGCACCGGCUAACUACGUG